UCCUGCAUCUCAUUAAUCUGUUUAUCUAAUUUAAUCAAAGUCACAUUUCUUGUGACUUUGAUUAAAUUAGAUAAACAGAUUAAUGAGAUGCAGGA
This is a non-coding RNA of Pelobates cultripes (western spadefoot toad), 95 nucleotides long. The record is from the annotation of a GenBank genome assembly. NCBI's taxonomy places the organism in Eukaryota, Metazoa, Chordata, Amphibia, Anura, Pelobatidae.